This 46-nucleotide non-coding RNA is filed under the name Schistosoma margrebowiei. The record is from RNAcentral. Lineage: Eukaryota; Metazoa; Platyhelminthes; Trematoda; Strigeidida; Schistosomatidae.
GCACUGCUGAGGGGUGCCAUAUUAGGACGAAACGGCCGUCCAGUGC